RNAcentral lists this transfer RNA (74 nucleotides) under Chloroflexota bacterium. RNAcentral describes it as "Chloroflexi bacterium (activated sludge metagenome) tRNA-Arg". It matches the Rfam family "tRNA". From Rfam's summary of the family: Transfer RNA (tRNA) molecules are approximately 80 nucleotides in length. Their secondary structure includes four short double-helical elements and three loops (D, anti-codon, and T loops). Further hydrogen bonds mediate the characteristic L-shaped molecular structure. tRNAs have two regions of fundamental functional importance: the anti-codon, which is responsible for specific mRNA codon recognition, and the 3' end, to which the tRNAs corresponding amino acid is attached (by aminoacyl-tRNA synthetases). tRNAs cope with the degeneracy of the genetic code in two manners: having more than one tRNA (with a specific anti-codon) for a particular amino acid; and 'wobble' base-pairing, i.e. permitting non-standard base-pairing at the 3rd anti-codon position. RNAcentral also lists the same sequence under 1 other name. The record is from RNAcentral. Lineage: Bacteria; Bacillati; Chloroflexota.
GCCCCCGUAGCUCAGUGGACCAGAGCAGCGGACUUCUAAUCCGCCGGUCGCAGGUUCGAAUCCUGCCGGGGGUG